This 400-nucleotide long non-coding RNA is filed under the name Setaria viridis. RNAcentral describes it as "long non-coding RNA (SVIR_LNC008853)". The record is from RNAcentral. Lineage: Eukaryota; Viridiplantae; Streptophyta; Magnoliopsida; Poales; Poaceae.
GGAAACCAGGAAAAUAAAGGAGAAUUAGAGGAACCAAUCAAACUAGCACCAAAAUAGAGGAAAACCAGAAGGCACAUGAAUACGACAAGAAACCAACAAAGGCAUAUAUAACAAGCAAAAAGGGAUCAAUAUGCAGAGGGCCUAAAAUAAGAGGAAACUAAUCAAAACCAAACAGAAUCAGGGAACAAAUCCGUCAACACAAAUGAGUUUAGUGAUAGAUCCAUCAACACAAAUCCGUCAACCAGUAGCAAAGCAGCAGAUGACCUCACCAAGAAAACUGAUGAACUCAAGAAGAGAGACGGAAGCAAUGAUGGAAAGGCCAGUGAGCAGACAACCAUUAACGCAACAACAUGCGCCUCCUCGAUCUAUUAUAAGGCGCAAAUCCAAAGCUAGUGUGUGG